Molecule: non-coding RNA, 29 nt
Filed under: Rattus norvegicus (Norway rat)
Lineage: Eukaryota; Metazoa; Chordata; Mammalia; Rodentia; Muridae
Source: RNAcentral
CUAGUAGAUUGCUGUUUAUAUGUAUGUAA